This 452-nucleotide ribosomal RNA is filed under the name uncultured bacterium. RNAcentral's name for it is "bacterial SSU rRNA". It matches the Rfam family "Bacterial small subunit ribosomal RNA", at positions 28 to 507 of the family's 1533-position model. The record is from RNAcentral.
GAUGAACGCUAGCGGCAGGCCUAAUACAUGCAAGUCAAGGGGCUCUUUCGGGAGCACCGGCGGACGGGUGCGUAACGCGUACACAACGUACCUCAGAGCGGGGGAUAGCAUCGGGAAACUGGUGGUAAUACCCCAUGGUGUUGAGAGAUGGCAUCAUUUUUCUAACUAAAGGUUACACUCUGAGAUCGGUGUGCGUCUGAUUAGCUAGUUGGCGGGGUAACGGCCCACCAAGGCGACGAUCAGUAGGGGGUGUGAGAGCAUGACCCCCCACAUGGGUACUGAGACACGGACCCAACUCCUACGGGAGGCAGCAGUAAGGAAUAUUGCGCAAUGGGCGAAAGCCUGACGCAGCAACGCCGCGUGGGUGAAGAAGGUCUUCGGAUCGUAAAGCCCUGUCAGGAGGGACGAAACAAAUGACGGUACCUCCAAAGGAAGCACUGGCUAACUCCGUG